GGAGACCUACGGGAGGCAGCAGUGAGGAAUAUUGGUCAAUGGACGAGAGUCUGAACCAGCCAAGUAGCGUGAAGGAUGACUGCCCUAUGGGUUGUAAACUUCUUUUAUAUGGGAAUAAAACGUUCCACGUGUGGGAUUUUGUAUGUACCAUAUGAAUAAGGAUCGGCUAACUCCGUGCCAGCAGCCGCGGUAAUACGGAGGAUCCGAGCGUUAUCCGGAUUUACUAGGUUUGAAGGGAGCGUAGAUGGGUUGUUAAGUCAGUUGUGAAAGUUUGCGGCUCAACCGUACAAUUGCAAUUGAUACUG
This 305-nucleotide ribosomal RNA is filed under the name uncultured bacterium. Its description in RNAcentral is "bacterial SSU rRNA". It matches the Rfam family "Bacterial small subunit ribosomal RNA", at positions 333 to 635 of the family's 1533-position model. The record is from RNAcentral.